GGGACCUUCAAAGAUCCCACACGCCAUGAAGUCGACACUGAGCGCAGUAAUACUUGAAAGAACUGGUGUGAUUUUGAUACAUUCACAGCUUGAGAUCCGCCAUGUUGCCAGCUGGACGACUCGGAAGUUACUCCCCUCCAAAGUCCGUAUCCCAGAUCAAAGACUAUUGCGCUAAGCCAAUGUCGACAAAAACUCUCCUAAAUUAUGGGGAACUUGUCCCACCAUGGGGG
This 230-nucleotide long non-coding RNA is filed under the name Gossypium barbadense (sea-island cotton). Its description in RNAcentral is "long non-coding RNA (GBAR_LNC010578)". Lineage: Eukaryota; Viridiplantae; Streptophyta; Magnoliopsida; Malvales; Malvaceae. The record is from RNAcentral.